UGGGGAAUAUUGCACAAUGGAGGGAACUCUGAUGCAGCGACGCCGCGUGAACGAAGAAGGCUUUCGAGUCGUAAAGUUCUUUUAUAUGGGAAGAUAAUGACGGUACCAUAAGAAAAAGCCCCGGCUAACUACGUGCCAGCAGCCGCGGUAAUACGUAGGGGGCUAGCGUUGUCCGGAAUCACUGGGCGUAAAGGGUUCGCAGGCGGAAAUGCAAGUCAGGUGUAAAAGGCAGUAGCUUAACUACUGUAAGCAUUUGAAACUGCAUAUCUUGAGAAGAGUAGGGGUAAGUGGAAUUUUUAGGGUAGCGGUGAAAUGCGUAGAUAUUAAAAAGAAUACCGGGGGCGAAGGCGACUUACUGGGCUCAUUCUGACGCUGAGGAACGAAAGCGUGGGUAGCAAACAGG
RNAcentral lists this ribosomal RNA (403 nucleotides) under Fusobacteriota bacterium. RNAcentral's name for it is "Fusobacteria bacterium partial 16S ribosomal RNA". It matches the Rfam family "Bacterial small subunit ribosomal RNA", at positions 355 to 776 of the family's 1533-position model. Lineage: Bacteria; Fusobacteriati; Fusobacteriota. The record is from RNAcentral.